Molecule: ribosomal RNA, 468 nt
Filed under: uncultured bacterium
Lineage: Bacteria
Description: partial 16S ribosomal RNA
Rfam family: Bacterial small subunit ribosomal RNA
Source: RNAcentral
GACGAACGCUGGCGGCGUGCUUAACACAUGCAAGUCGAACGGAAAGGCCCUGCUUUUGUGGGGUGCUCGAGUGGCGAACGGGUGAGUAACACGUGAGUAACCUGCCCUUGACUUUGGGAUAACUUCAGGAAACUGGGGCUAAUACCGGAUAGGAGCUCCUGCUGCAUGGUGGGGGUUGGAAAGUUUCGGCGGUUGGGGAUGGACUCGCGGCUUAUCAGCUUGUUGGUGGGGUAGUGGCUUACCAAGGCUUUGACGGGUAGCCGGCCUGAGAGGGUGACCGGCCACAUUGGGACUGAGAUGCGGCCCAGACUCCUACGGGAGGCAGAAGUGGGGAAUAGUGCACAAUGGGCGGAAGCCUGAUGCAGCAACGCCGCGUGCGGGAUGACAGCCUUCGGGUUGUAAACCGCUUUCGCCUGUGACGAAGCGUGAGUGACGGUAAUGGGUAAAGAAGCACCGGCUAACUACGUG